This 497-nucleotide ribosomal RNA is filed under the name uncultured bacterium. Its description in RNAcentral is "partial 16S ribosomal RNA". It matches the Rfam family "Bacterial small subunit ribosomal RNA", at positions 28 to 507 of the family's 1533-position model. The record is from RNAcentral.
GAUGAACGCUGGCGGCGUGCCUAAUACAUGCAAGUCGAGCGAACAGAUGAGGAGCUUGCUCCUCUGACGUUAGCGGCGGACGGGUGAGUAACACGUGGAUAACCUACCUAUAAGACUGGGAUAACUUCGGGAAACCGGAGCUAAUACCGGAUAAUAUAUUGAACCGCAUGGUUCAAUAGUGAAAGACGGUUUUGCUGUCACGUAUAGAUGGAUCCGCGCCGCAUUAGCUAGUUGUUAAGGUAACGGCUUACCAAGGCAACGAUGCGUAGCCGACCUGAGAGGGUGAUCGGCCACACUGGAACUGAGACACGGUCCAGACUCCUACGGGAGGCAGCAGUAGGGAAUCUUCCGCAAUGGGCGAAAGCCUGACGGAGCAACGCCGCGUGAGUGAUGAAGGUCUUCGGAUCGUAAAACUCUGUUAUUAGGGAAGAACAAAUGUGUAAGUAACUAUGCACGUCUUGACGGUACCUAAUCAGAAAGCCACGGCUAACUACGUG